RNAcentral lists this small RNA (27 nucleotides) under Bombyx mori (domestic silkworm). Its description in RNAcentral is "ovarian small RNA-10814". The record is from RNAcentral. Lineage: Eukaryota; Metazoa; Arthropoda; Insecta; Lepidoptera; Bombycidae.
AAUGAAACGACUAAAGGAGGUCCAAAA